UCGAACGAUGAAGGGGAGCUUGCUCCCUGGAAUAGUGGCGAACGGGUGAGUAACACGUGAGCAACCUGCCCCUAACUCUGAGAUAACGCUUCGAAAGGAGUGCUAAUACUGGAUAUGAGCCUGGAAGACAUCUUCUGGGUUGGAAAGUUUUCGGUUAGGGAUGGGCUCGCGGCCUAUCAGCUUGUUGGUGAGGUAAAGGCUCACCAAGGCGACGACGGGUAUCCGGCCUGAGAGGGCGACCGGACACACUGGGACUGAGACACGGCCCAGACUCC
Molecule: ribosomal RNA, 275 nt
Filed under: uncultured bacterium
Lineage: Bacteria
Description: partial 16S ribosomal RNA
Rfam family: Bacterial small subunit ribosomal RNA
Source: RNAcentral